Molecule: small RNA, 520 nt
Filed under: Pongo abelii (Sumatran orangutan)
Lineage: Eukaryota; Metazoa; Chordata; Mammalia; Primates; Hominidae
Description: retained intron
Source: RNAcentral
CUGGUUUUGUUUUUGUGUCUUUAGCACCGUUCAUUUAAGUAUUUUGGCCUCCUGGAAAGAAAACCAGCCUUCUAUACUUGCCAGAUUGAAAUGACACAGUGAUCUGCCCAUCAACUUUUUAUCAUUUCCCUUCACUUUAAUUGGGUCACAACACAAAUGACUUAGAAAAUGUGAGCGCACUAGAUUAUAAGAAGCCUUAGCAGACAGUGUCUGAGGAUUAAAGUUGCUUUUCUGCUAUGUUUCAGGUGGUUAAUGGAAUGAAGGGUUGCCUGUCCUGUAGCUAUAUCGAGAAGUUUACUGACUUUCUUCGGCUCUUUGUGAGUGUUCACCUAAGAAGAAUCGAGUCUUACUCCCAGUUCCCUGUGGUGGAGUUUUUGACACUUUUGUUCAAGUACACAUUUCAUCAGCCUACUCAUGAAGGUUACUUCUCUUGUUUGGAUAUCUGGACGCUCUUUUUGGACUAUCUGACAAGUAAAAUUAAAAGUCGUCUUGGAGACAAGGAAGCAGUUCUCAACAGGUA